AUAUGAAGCCGGACUGGGAUAGGGCCUCGCUGCCUUGCCCGUCUGGCGCCAUAUUCACCCAUGUCUUUUUGCGUACUACUUGUUUCCUUGGCGGGUCCGCCCGCCAAUUGGACCUUAUUCAAACCUUUUUUUCAGUUGCAAUCAGCGUCAGCAAAACAAAUGUAAUCAAUUACAACUUUCAACAACGGAUCUCUUGGUUCUGGCAUCGAUGAAGAACGCAGCGAAAUGCGAUAAGUAGUGUGAAUUGCAGAAUUCAGUGAAUCAUCGAAUCUUUGAACGCACAUUGCGCCCUUUGGUAUUCCAAAGGGCAUGCCUGUUCGAGCGUCAUUUGUACCCUCAAGCUUUGCUUGGUGUUGGGCGUCUUGUCUCUCUCCCGAGACUCGCCUUAAAAUCAUUGGCAGCCGGCCUACUGGUUUCGGAGCGCAGCACAUUAUUUGCGCUCUUGUCCAGCCGCGGUCGCGCGUCCAUGAAGCUUCUUUCAACCUUUUGACCUCGGAUCAGGUAGGGAUA
RNAcentral lists this ribosomal RNA (510 nucleotides) under Pyrenophora tritici-repentis. RNAcentral describes it as "eukaryotic LSU rRNA". The stretch from base 174 to 327 matches the Rfam family "5.8S ribosomal RNA". The record is from RNAcentral. Lineage: Eukaryota; Fungi; Ascomycota; Dothideomycetes; Pleosporales; Pleosporaceae.